CCAGACUCCUACGGGAGGCAGCAGUGGGGGAUAUUGGACAAUGGGGGAAACCCUGAUCCAGCGACGCCGCGUGAGUGAAGAGGUAUUUCGGUAUGUAAAGCUCUGUCAGCAGGGAAGAAAGAAAUGACGGUACCUGACCAAGAAGCCCCGGCUAACUACGUGCCAGCAGCCGCGGUAAUACGUAGGGGGCAAGCGUUAUCCGGAAUUACUGGGUGUAAAGGGAGCGUAGACGGUGAUGCAAGUCUGGAGUGAAAGGCGGGGGCCCAACCCCCGGACUGCUCUGGAAACUGUGCAGCUGGAGUGCAGGAGAGGUAAGCGGAAUUCCUAGUGUAGCGGUGAAAUGCGUAGAUAUUAGGAGGAACACCAGUGGCGAAGGCGGCUUACUGGACUGUAACUGACGUUGAGGCUCGAAAGCGUGGGGAGCAAACAGGAUUAGAUACCCGCGUAC
RNAcentral lists this ribosomal RNA (448 nucleotides) under uncultured bacterium. RNAcentral's name for it is "bacterial SSU rRNA". It matches the Rfam family "Bacterial small subunit ribosomal RNA", at positions 331 to 793 of the family's 1533-position model. The record is from RNAcentral.